Molecule: long non-coding RNA, 2992 nt
Filed under: Cyanistes caeruleus (blue tit)
Lineage: Eukaryota; Metazoa; Chordata; Aves; Passeriformes; Paridae
Description: lncRNA (ENSCCEG00000008129.1)
Source: RNAcentral
CAGCCGGGCUGUGGGUUACAGCCGGGCUGUGGGCUCCGGCCGGACUGUGGGUUACAGCGGGGCUGUGGGUUACAGCCGGGCUGUGGGUUACAAACAGACUGUGGGUUACAGCCGGGCUGUGGGUUACAGCCGGACUGUGGGUUACAGCGGGGCUGUGGGUUACAAACAGACUGUGGGUUACAGCCGGGCUGUGGGUUACAAACAGACUGUGGGUUACAGCCGGACUGUGGGUUACAAACAGACUGUGGGUUACAAACAGACUGUGGGUUACAGCCAGACUGUGGGUUACAAACAGACUGUGGGUUACAGCCGGGCUGUGGGCUCUGGCCGGACUGUGGGUUACAGUGGGGCUGUGGGUUACAGUGGGGCUGUGGGUUACAGCCGGACUGUGGGUUACAGCCGGACUGUGGGUUACAGCCGGGCUGUGGGUUACAGUGGGGCUGUGGGUUACAAACAGACUGUGGGUUACAGCCGGGCUGUGGGCUCAGGCUGGGCUCUGGGUUCCAACCGGGCUCUGGGCUCCGGCCGGUGUAAGCUCUGGCCGGGCUGCGGCCUCCGGCCUUCACACCCCGCCGGCCGCGUUCCCCAUCUCCCCGGAGCACUCCACCUCCCCUCAAGGUGUUAAAAUACCUGUAUGCAACACCAAGGGUGGUGCAGUAGCUCUAUGCCCCCAAAAGGUGUAAAAAUACCUCUACACGCAACCCCAAAAGUGCUACAAUACGUGUAUACACCCAAAAGAUGUUACAACACCUGUACAUGCAACCCCAAAGGAGGUACAAUACCUCUACACUGCCAAAGCAUGUAAAAAUACCUGUACACACAGCCCCAAAGGUGGUACAAUACCUCUACACUUUCAAAAGAUGUAAAAAUACCUGUACAUAUAGCCCCAAAGGUGGUACAAUACCUGAGGAUGGAUUGGUUUGUCCCCAGCCCAGCUCCAGUGCCUCAGGUUGUGUAACCAAAGUGAUUUUGCUCCCUCCUGGCGCUUCCCACAUUCCAAGCCAACCUCUAAACCACAUCCACAAGGUCUCCCAGGGAGUCUUGAUGCAGCCAGAUAUCCUUGGCAAAGCUUUGAUGGUGCCCCAGGUGAAGGCAUGGUGGGCACAGGGCAGCUCCAUGACAGGGUCUGCAUUGCUGCUUGGUUUCUAAAGAUGAAACAGCUGCUUUGGAAACCCCAAACAGGAGAGGAUGGUCUAAAUAAUACCCCUGGAAUACCAGGAAAAGGUACACACGAAGCUUGGUCUGGCAGGCCUCAAUGCUGAAGAAAGGUGUAGCUGGUCAGGACAGCAGUUUUGGGGACAUUUCCAUAAGUUUAUGUGACUUGCCCACAGAAGCAGGGUCAUGUUUGAAAUGUGGCCAUCCUGCUGCUCCUCCAGCUCCUCUUCUAGGGAGAGGAAAUGGUGUGAGCAGGGAAUGGGGGCUCUGUGCUCUUUGUCAGAUGUGAGAUAAGUGGUGCAAGGAUCGUGGGUGAGACGUGGGCAUGGUCUUGUAGGGAGGAUGAGCUCCAGACCCUGAUGUUCUUUGAGCAAGGGGAAAAUGUCAUAUGGAGAUAACCCCUGCCACAGCCUGCCCUGCAGGGAGCUCUCCUUCCCCACCUCCACCCCCUCAGAUUUUAAACUGUACAGGAGAGCUGAGCUUGUCUUGUGGCCUGUGGAGCAAAAGCCAUCAAAUGAAGGUGUCAGAUGCAAUUUUUCCUCUGCUGGUACAUUGGUAGACAGAGCAGGGUUUAUUUGCUCCAAGAGAAAAAAACCCACCCAGCCUUUAUGAGUCUGGAUUUCUGUGCUGCGUCCAACCGAGCAACACCUGUUCACUCAGCUGAUGCUGCUGUAUGUCCUUGAAAUAGGCUGGUGGAUGAGAGAGGAGGCUCUCCAGGCAUGUGGACUUCAUUUGGAACCCUUUUCUUUUUAUUACUUGAACACAUCAUGUAUCUGGGGCAAGAAAAAGGCUUCUCAGCCCAGUGCAGUGAGUGGGGACACACAUGCUGGAGAGGUAGAUAUAUAUGUCUCAGUAUUUUUAUACAUUUAUCACACCCGAGUGAGCAGCCACAGCUUUGCAAACAGCAUUUUUAGGACUAUAAAUACACAGCCACGAUUUGGGGUAUGUAUCUAUGGCCAGUAAGCCACCAAAACAUUCAUACAUGCCCUCCAAAAGUCAAGAGAUGUUUAGAACAUUUAAUUGGAUAUCAGUUGGGUCACAGACACGUUUUCCGUGGUGAAUUCUCUGUCAGGUGCACAGGGAAUGGUGCUUGCUGUAUGAGCAGGUACUUGUUGGCCUCUGCUCUGGUUAUUUGCUGCCUUUCCACGCCUCAGCUCGGGCCAUGCUGAGCGAGCUGUGCUCUGAGGAUGGGUUUUUUUCAGUUCUGUUUGCUCUGCUGCCAUGUCCUUACCCCUACCUGAGCACUGAUGUGAGGCACCAUUCUGGGUUUGGUGCUCCUUCAGCUCACACAAAAGUUCUGCUGAAGGGAAGAGGAUGGGCAGGAGGGGCAUGGAGCUGCUGGAGUGAGUCCACAGGAGGCCACCAAAGAUCAGAGGGAUGGAUAAGCUCUGCUGUGAGGAAAGGCUGAGAGAGUUGGGAUUGUUCAGCCUGGAAUAAGAGAGGCUUCAGAGUGAGCUAAUUGUGUUCUUUCAGUACCUGAAGGGAGCCUGCAAGGAAGAUGAAGAGACUGUUUACAAGGGCUUGGAGGAACAGGGGAAUAGAGAAUGGCUUCAAACAGAAAGAGAAUAGGUUUACGUUGGGAUACUGGGAAAAAAUUCCUCCCUGUGAGGGUGGUGAGGCCCUGGCCACAGAGAAGCUGUGGCUGCCCCUGGAUCCCUGGAAAUGUCCAAGGCCAGACUGGAUAGGGCUUGGAGCAACCUGGGGCAGUGGAAGGUAUCCCUGCAUGUGAUGAGAAUGAGAUGAUCUUUAAGGUCCCUCCAACCCCAACCUUCUCUAAUGAGACCUCAUAACCUGGAGUCCCCCUCUGAAUAAAACCAACAUGACAAAGGUGGCUGCA